AAUACUUGUAUUUAUAUGUCUAUGGCUAUUACUCUAUGCUGUCGACAUGUAAAAGUGAAAAGACCACAAUUAGAUAUUUUUUCAAAUUGAAUUCAUCAAACUGAUAACGGAUUAAAUUUUCAAUUCUUUUAGUUAAGAGACUUUCUUAAUUUAUUUGGAAUACAUUCAUCUAUUCUACAAACUUCGAUGAAAAGUUGGUCCUAAAGAAACUAAUAUUUCAGGUGCAUAUUCAACAUUAUGAACCACAAUUGUAUUCGCAACAUUAUCUUUUGAUUCUUUGGGAACUGAAAUGCCUUUAGUUUUUUCUGGUCCAAUUGAAUUUUCUAGAGAUUUAUUAAUGUUGUCAUUAUUUAGUUGGUCGUCAGUAAGAAUAUCACUAGCCUAAAAAAAAUAUUUGAGUUCUUUAAAUUUUUAUAUACUUGUUUUUUAAGAUAAUAAAUUAUGUGUUAUAAAAAAAUUAAUUUUACAUAAUCUGUUCACUGCAAAAAGAUAAUUAUAAAAUUAACUAUAUUUAGUUCAAUAUGGAGCAAAAAAAAAUAUUUUUUUUAAUUGAAUUAAUUAAUUAAAUUUUUAUUAUUUAAAUUAUGCACUACCUGUUGAGAUUCUUUUUUUAUAGUAAUGGUUUCUAUCGUGCUAUUGGUUGUUUCUAACUCCCACCAUGGGGAAUUAGAAGUUGUUUCUCCUUCGGAGGGAGUAUGAUAUGAAGAAGAUCUAGAAGGUGGAGAACCAGUAUAUUCAGAUGCAGUUACAAAGUCUUCGCCAUCAGAUCGACUACUAUUAUUAUUUUCUUCUGAUUUAGAAGAAAUUGAAUUCUUUUCAUCCAUUUUACUCAAAUUAAUAUACCAUUCCUAAAAAAAUUAAUAGAGUCAAUCAAAAAAUUAUUUGCAGUACUUUGAGCUAAGCCUGAAAGUGUAAAAUCCAGUUGCUCAGCCAACUCUGUAACCAUCCCAAGUUUUUUGGAUAUUGAUUCUACUGCACUAUCAUUUAAGUAUUGUUCUUCUUCGCUCC
Long non-coding RNA from Daktulosphaira vitifoliae (grape phylloxera), 1008 nucleotides. RefSeq lists it as uncharacterized. The transcript has 3 exons. Lineage: Eukaryota; Metazoa; Arthropoda; Insecta; Hemiptera; Phylloxeridae. The record is from RefSeq and is a predicted model, not a curated record.